GAGAUGCAGAUGCUGGAAUCAUGCUAAUGUAUAAAAUCCCAGGUCAAGGACUAAAUGGCACUUGAAUCUGUCAAGUCACCUACUUGGCCUUCUUUCAAGUGUACUUUACUUCCUUUCAUUCCUGCUCUAAAACUUUUUAAUAAACUUUCAUUCCUGCUCUAAAACUUGCCUUGGUUUCUCACUGUGCCUUAUGUCCCUCAGAUGAAUUUUUUCUCCUGAAGAGGCAAGAAUCAAGUUGCUGCAGACCCAUAUGGAUUUGCUGCUGCUAACAUACUUUGGUGUCGUGACUCAGAUACGUCCCCAGUGGUCAUCAAGCUCCAGAUGAUCCUCAGUGAGGGAUGCCAUCCUCUCAAUAUUCAAGUCACCCUUCUACAGCGGACCCCUAGACUGCCCAGCAGAGGGACACGACAGAGAUAAAAUCCUGCCCAUUUCCCUUGGACCUGGCUGAAUACCACUUUCACCAACCCAUGGAGCCACCCUGCCCUGACAGCUAGCAAGAGUCCAAGACCCACAGAACAACCACCACCACCCCUCUGUCAGCAGGAAGCAGUUAGAGAAGACUGACCUUCAUCCCGUUUCCCAAAGAAUUGGGUCUUGGACUCUUGAGUGGGAAAAUGUUAGAGUAGGGCAGGAGAGCACUGCCUUCCCAACCCCCUUCUCUGACACCGAGGAAUGUCAGACAACCAUUAGGUGCUGGUCAGGCAGUUGUUAAACUGUCUUGCUAAGAUAAUAGCUGGUUACAGCUGGCACUAGGGAACAGCAAAAACAACUGAAAACAAUGGAAGCUGGUGAUCAGCAGCUUCCCAAUAAGAUCUUGGGAGUUGGGUGAGUGGGCUCAAGCAUGCGCACUAAGAGGUAAAAUGGUGGAGUUUAACUGGUAGACGACCUUCCUCUGGGAACACUGGACUGAUUAGGGAAAAACCCUUCAAGUGAGUGUGCAUGCAACUUCACUAAACGUAUUGUGCAUGCAGCCCCUCCCAAGUGCUGGCAGGCCACUGCUCAUGAGGACAGCCUGCCCAAAGGGAAGAAUGGAGGAGGAGAAAUGGGGAUCCAGGAAAAAUGCCAGUGUAAAAAGACCCCAAGUCAAGGACUAAAUGGGAGCUGAAUCUCUCAAGUCGCCUGCUUGGCCCUCUUCCAAGAGUACUUUGUUUUGUUCCUGCUCUAAGACUUUUUUUUUUUUUUUUUUUGAGAUGGAGUUUCACUCUUGUUGCCCAGGCUGGAGUACAAUGGCACAGUCUCAGCUCACGGCAACCUCCACCUUCCAGGUUCAAAUGAUUCUCCUGCCUCAGCCUCCCGAGUAGCUGGGAUUACAGGUGCCCACCACUACACCAGGCAAAUUUUUGUAUUUUUAGUAGAGACACGGUUUCACCAUGUUGGCCAGGCUGGUCUCGAACUCCCGAACUCAGCUGAUCCACCUGCCUUGGCCUCCCAAAGUGCUGGGAUUACAGAUGUGAGCCACUGCACCCAGUCUCUAAAACUUUUUAAUAAACUCGCUCC
RNAcentral lists this long non-coding RNA (1497 nucleotides) under Homo sapiens (human). The record is from RNAcentral. Lineage: Eukaryota; Metazoa; Chordata; Mammalia; Primates; Hominidae.